Long non-coding RNA from Meriones unguiculatus (Mongolian gerbil), 1601 nucleotides. RefSeq lists it as uncharacterized. The transcript has 2 exons. NCBI's taxonomy places the organism in Eukaryota, Metazoa, Chordata, Mammalia, Rodentia, Muridae. The record is from RefSeq and is a predicted model, not a curated record.
UGCCCAGGAAUUCAGGCCCAGCCUGCCUAGCCCUGCUCACCAGCGCAUCUGUUUCCAAUCAGGGUAUAAAGCACAUUCUUUCUGCUAGCAGGCAGCCGUGCAGGCCGAGAGCCUGGGGACCACGCUAAUUGAUUGCUAAAUGAUCUUGUCAUUUCCAAAAGAGGUCUCUAGGCCUGCCCUUUGCUCUGCCUCUACACUCCCCACAGGCUGACAGCUUAAAAAUUAACUCGUCAGCUGCCUCCGGCUGCAGAGACUCUCUGAAACCUCUAGUGUGGGAAGGCCCUGGGAGCCUCAGAGAAGGUCCUGACUGAGCAUCCUUUGCUGAAGAUUUGUGGCUUGAAAGACACCGGCUGCCACAGGCACCAGCCACUCAUUCUCCCUGAUUGUACAAGGUCCAGACUACGGAAGAGAUGAGGAGCCAAGGGCUCAGGAGUAUUGUAUGGCUCCAGGUCACACGGAGCUGGCGGUUGAGAUGCAAUGGGCUCUGACCUCCGGUUGCUGUAGCUGUAGCUGGCAAAUGAGGACAGAGUGGAGUGUCCACCAUGGCUGCAAUCAAGGAAGCUUGUCCUGUAUUCUUGUUGGAUGGCCUGUGCGGGAGCGCACCGCUCGUUUGUUUUAACACUCGCUUACUUGGUUUCAGUGUGUUUGUGUACGAGCACAUGGGUAUGAGUGCAGAUUCCUGUGGAAGCCAGAGGUACUGAAUCCCCCUGGCGCUGCAGGCCUGUAAAGCCCCAACCUCUGAGGUAAACGGGUAAGAAAGAAUCUGACACACAAGGCUAGUGUCGGACCUGCAUUGCCAUUGCCACUUACACUGUGACCUGUGUGAGCCUCGGAUGCUCCAGGGAGGCCUGGCAUGUGCCAGUGCUGAGAGAGCAGGGUGACUCACACCUGCAAUCCGACGGCCACAAGUUCGGCUCCACAGUGCAUGCGAGCCAGCCUGGGCUACCUGGGGUACAGCCGGAGGGGGCGGGAGAAGAGUGCUUUGGAAACUGUAGGAUCCUUUGAAAGUAUUAUCACCAUUAAUCAUACGUAUUAGACCCGGUUGGAGAAAUGGCUUGCUCAACCUUCCUGUUGAGCUAAAGUCUGCCUAGGUCUCCAUCCAGGCCUUCAUCCAGGCCACUCUCCCUUUGCUCUGUUCUUUGAGGCCAGGCUGUACCUGUUACAAUUUUCACCUUGCGUCUUGUCUUGUUUGUGCCUCCCCAUAAUUCCAGUGACGGUGCAGCCACGCCCAGGCUAGGAAUGACCUUCUGGAGGCUCCGAAAGGCCAGGAACACUGCUCAAGGCCCCGAAGACGACGGGAAUCAGCUUCUGUUCCAGCUGCUGUGCACUUUGCUUUCUGAAUACAGCUGCCUCCCAGAAGCCGGGCUGUCAAUCUCCCUCUUUGAGGACCACUGUACUCAGCACACAGCUUCACUCAAGUUCAUAGCUGUGGCAACCCGUUCCCUAGAACUCGCUCUGCUUUGGGAGAGUGGGAAAUGGACAACCAAUGAGAGGGACUGGGGGGUAAUGAGCCUUUCUAGGGGUUACAUGGUGCCUUUGUGAGGCAGGCAGUUCUCACAGCCCCCAAGAGCCCUGCUGAUAAAAUCGUUUGAGGUGUGAGA